CCGUCACGGAGGUAAAGGUGGGUAGAAAACACAAAACGACCAAUGGAGCAUAAUUUACAACAAAUCCUUUUAUCGAUAAAUAAAACCUUUACCAUUUACUUACCUCGGUAAAAUUCAUAAAACAAUAUACGAAAGCAAUAACAUCAUUAUCAUCAUGGAAACAUAUAUAUGAACUGUAUAACAUAAUACCUAUCACACUUUUCGU
RNAcentral lists this long non-coding RNA (205 nucleotides) under Carica papaya (papaya). RNAcentral describes it as "long non-coding RNA (CPAP_LNC006774)". Lineage: Eukaryota; Viridiplantae; Streptophyta; Magnoliopsida; Brassicales; Caricaceae. The record is from RNAcentral.